Molecule: ribosomal RNA, 577 nt
Filed under: Polycephalomyces formosus
Lineage: Eukaryota; Fungi; Ascomycota; Sordariomycetes; Hypocreales; Polycephalomycetaceae
Description: LSU rRNA
Rfam family: Eukaryotic large subunit ribosomal RNA
Source: RNAcentral
AAACCAACAGGGAUUGCCCCAGUAACGGCGAGUGAAGCGGCAGCAGCUCAAAUUUGAAAUCUGGCCGCCCCCGGGGGGGCCCGAGUUGUAAUUUGCAGAGGAUGCUUUUGGCGCGGCGCCUUCCGAGUUCCCUGGAACGGGACGCCAUAGAGGGUGAGAGCCCCGUCUGGUCGGACGCCCAGCCUCUGUAAAGCUCCUUCGACGAGUCGAGUAGUUUGGGAAUGCUGCUCUAAAUGGGAGGUAUAUGUCUUCUAAAGCUAAAUACCGGCCAGAGACCGAUAGCGCACAAGUAGAGUGAUCGAAAGAUGAAAAGCACUUUGAAAAGAGGGUUAAACAGUACGUGAAAUUGUUGAAAGGGAAGCGCUCAUGACCAGACUUGGGCCGGGCGAAUCAUCCGGCGUUCUCGCCGGUGCACUUCGCCGGGCCCAGGCCAGCAUCAGUCCGCCGCGGGGGACAAAGGCGUCGGGAACGUGGCUCCCCCGGGAGUGUUAUAGCCCGUCGCGCAAUGCCCUGCGGGCGGACUGAGGUUCGCGCUCCGCAAGGAUGCUGGCGUAAUGGUCAUCAGCGACCCGUCUUG